GACGUAGGGCGCGAGCGUUGUCCGGAUUUAUUGUGCGUAAAGAGCUCGUAGGCGGCUUGUCGCGUCGACUGUGAAAGCCCGCGGCUCAACCGCGGGUCUGCAGUCGAUACGGGCAGGCUAGAGUUCGGUAGGGGAGACUGGAAUUCCUGGUGUAGCGGUGAAAUGCGCAGAUAUCAGGAGGAACACCGAUGGCGAAGGCAGGUCUCUGGGCCGAUACUGACGCUGAGGAGCGAAAGCGUGGGGAGCGAACAGG
This 253-nucleotide ribosomal RNA is filed under the name uncultured bacterium. Its description in RNAcentral is "partial 16S ribosomal RNA". It matches the Rfam family "Bacterial small subunit ribosomal RNA", at positions 524 to 776 of the family's 1533-position model. The record is from RNAcentral.